Molecule: ribosomal RNA, 249 nt
Filed under: uncultured Actinomycetales bacterium
Lineage: Bacteria; Bacillati; Actinomycetota; Actinomycetes; Actinomycetales
Description: partial 16S ribosomal RNA
Rfam family: Bacterial small subunit ribosomal RNA
Source: RNAcentral
GGGGUGCUCGGGUGGCGAACGGGUGAGUAACACGUGAGUAACCUGCCCUUGACUUUGGGAUAACUUCAGGAAACUGGGGCUAAUACCGGAUAGGAGCUCCUGCUGCAUGGUGGGGGUUGGAAAGUUUCGGCGGUUGGGGAUGGACUCGCGGCUUAUCAGCUUGUUGGUGGGGUAGUGGCUUACCAAGGCUUUGACGGGUAGCCGGCCUGAGAGGGUGACCGGCCACAUUGGGACUGAGAUACGGCCCAG